Molecule: transfer RNA, 64 nt
Filed under: Candidatus Muproteobacteria bacterium RIFCSPHIGHO2_12_FULL_60_33
Lineage: Bacteria; Pseudomonadati; Pseudomonadota; Candidatus Muproteobacteria
Description: tRNA-Ser
Source: RNAcentral
CGGCCAUAUCGGCAACAGGCUUUUAACCAGUUGGUCGGCAGUUCGAAUCUGCCACGGCCCACCA